CCUGCAGUCGACGGUGGGCCCUUUUGGUUGGCGGUCUGUGGCAAACGGGUGAAAACAUGUGUGCUCCCUGCCCUGAACUCUGGUUUACCUGCUGGAAACGGCCUCUAAUUGUGUAUAAGAUUUGGCUUCGUGUCUUCGUGGGUGAAAAUAUUUUUCGUUUUGAUGUGGCCUCGCGCUCUAUCAUUUUGUUGGUGAUGUAGUGCCUCACCAGGGCGUCCACGGAGACCCGGUCUGAGAGGGUGACCGCCCACUGUGGGUGUGACACGCGCCCCACACUCCUAGGGGGGGCAGCUGGGGAAAAUAUUGCACAGUGGGCGGAACCGUGAUGCAGCCACCCCGCGAGGGAUGAGACGCUCUUCGUUUUGUAAACCUUUUUUAACAGGCAAAAAGCAAAUGUGACGACCCCUGCAAAAAAAACCCCGCCUAUAUACGUGCCCACCCCCGCUGUAAUACAUAGGGCGAAAGCUGUAUCCAAAUUUAGUGGGUGAAAAGAUCUCAUACGCGUUGUGUCGCGUCCGGUGAGAUUCUGCAACUCUCAUGCUCGCGCCUGCACUGUACACGGACACUUUAGUACUACAUUAGGAGAGAUUGAUUCUCGUGGUGUAGCGGAAAUGUGCACAUAUCUCGAGAAACACACCGAUGGAAAACGCAUAUCUGUGUACCAACUGUGACUCAGAAGAGCGAACGUGUGGAGAGCACACAGGCUUAUAUACUGUGAGACUACACCCCAUACACUGUGGACUAUAUGUGUGGUCCCUUUCACGCGGUUUCCGCGACACAUAUCACACAUUAUAUUCCGC
This 800-nucleotide ribosomal RNA is filed under the name Microbacterium aurantiacum. RNAcentral describes it as "bacterial SSU rRNA". It matches the Rfam family "Bacterial small subunit ribosomal RNA", at positions 54 to 869 of the family's 1533-position model. The record is from RNAcentral. Lineage: Bacteria; Bacillati; Actinomycetota; Actinomycetes; Micrococcales; Microbacteriaceae.